RNAcentral lists this ribosomal RNA (376 nucleotides) under uncultured bacterium. Its description in RNAcentral is "bacterial SSU rRNA". It matches the Rfam family "Bacterial small subunit ribosomal RNA", at positions 524 to 898 of the family's 1533-position model. The record is from RNAcentral.
UACGUAGGUGGCAAGCGUUGUCCGGAUUUACUGGGCGUAAAGCGCGCGCAGGCGGCUGGCCAAGUCCGAUGUGAAAGCUUCCGGCUUAACUGGAAAACGGCAUCGGAUACUGGUCGGCUGGAAGGUGGGAGAGGGUAGCGGAAUUCCCGGUGUAGUGGUGAAAUGCGUAGAUAUCGGGAGGAACACCAGUGGCGAAAGCGGCUACCUGGCCCACUCUUGACGCUGAGGCGCGAAAGCUAGGGGAGCAAACGGGAUUAGAUACCCCGGUAGUCCUAGCCGUAAACGAUGAACACUAGGCGUUGUCGGUAUCGACCCCGGCAGUGCCGAAGCUAACGCAUUAAGUGUUCCGCCUGGGGAGUACGGCCGCAAGGCUAAA